This is a long non-coding RNA of Musca vetustissima, 229 nucleotides long. RefSeq lists it as uncharacterized. The transcript is spliced from 3 exons. The record is from RefSeq and is a predicted model, not a curated record. NCBI's taxonomy places the organism in Eukaryota, Metazoa, Arthropoda, Insecta, Diptera, Muscidae.
UGUUUGUAAUUACCGCAUUUCUAAGUUUGAGUGGCCUGCCGUUGACCGGUGCUGAUGGAGGAGCCCAUUGGGGUUAUCCCGACUAUAGCGAAAAUGAAGAAUUUCCAAAAUGGGGAGGAGUUUGUGAUAGCGGCACCCGGCAAUCGCCCAUCAAUUUAAGUCUGAGAGGUGCCAUUAAAGGUGUCUAUGAGAAAUUGGAGGGAGAUAAUCAUGAUAAGACCAUUACCGA